UUAUGUCUAUGCAAGACAACUAUGCUUUGUGGUUCUGUUCAUUGCACAGGCCUCCUCCCACACAACUCAGACAAGCAAUUGAUUGUUCUAUUCCAGCAAGUAUGAUGAUGGGUGGGAGAUCAGUUGCUAAUAGUAGAAAGAUUGCUUGGAUUUCUCUCAAGUGUAACAGACAAAAUGGGUCAUAUGAGUGCGGUUACUAUGUAAUGUAU
Molecule: long non-coding RNA, 209 nt
Organism: Vigna radiata var. radiata (mung bean)
Lineage: Eukaryota; Viridiplantae; Streptophyta; Magnoliopsida; Fabales; Fabaceae
Exons: 3
Source: RefSeq, a predicted model, not a curated record